This 292-nucleotide ribosomal RNA is filed under the name uncultured bacterium. RNAcentral describes it as "partial 16S ribosomal RNA". It matches the Rfam family "Bacterial small subunit ribosomal RNA", at positions 505 to 796 of the family's 1533-position model. The record is from RNAcentral.
GUGUCAGCAGCCGCGGUAAUACGGAGGGUGCAAGCGUUAUCCGGAUUCACUGGGUUUAAAGGGUGCGUAGGUGGGCAGUUAAGUCAGUGGUGAAAUCUCCGGGCUCAACCCGGAAACUGCCAUUGAUACUAUCUGUCUUGAAUAUCGUGGAGGUAAGCGGAAUAUGUCAUGUAGCGGUGAAAUGCUUAGAUAUGACAUAGAACACCAAUUGCGAAGGCAGCUUACUACCCGAAUAUUGACACUGAGGCACGAAAGCGUGGGGAUCAAACAGGAUUAGAAACCCCCGUAGUCC